GGCAGUGUAGCUUAAUGGUAAAGCACGUGUCUGCCAAACACGAAGACAACCGUUUGAUUCGGUUCACUGCCA
RNAcentral lists this transfer RNA (72 nucleotides) under Calothrix sp. FACHB-1219. RNAcentral's name for it is "tRNA-Gly". It matches the Rfam family "tRNA". Rfam says of the family: Transfer RNA (tRNA) molecules are approximately 80 nucleotides in length. Their secondary structure includes four short double-helical elements and three loops (D, anti-codon, and T loops). Further hydrogen bonds mediate the characteristic L-shaped molecular structure. tRNAs have two regions of fundamental functional importance: the anti-codon, which is responsible for specific mRNA codon recognition, and the 3' end, to which the tRNAs corresponding amino acid is attached (by aminoacyl-tRNA synthetases). tRNAs cope with the degeneracy of the genetic code in two manners: having more than one tRNA (with a specific anti-codon) for a particular amino acid; and 'wobble' base-pairing, i.e. permitting non-standard base-pairing at the 3rd anti-codon position. Lineage: Bacteria; Bacillati; Cyanobacteriota; Cyanophyceae; Nostocales; Calotrichaceae. RNAcentral also lists the same sequence under 3 other names. The record is from RNAcentral.